RNAcentral lists this ribosomal RNA (443 nucleotides) under uncultured bacterium. Its description in RNAcentral is "partial 16S ribosomal RNA". It matches the Rfam family "Bacterial small subunit ribosomal RNA", at positions 338 to 795 of the family's 1533-position model. The record is from RNAcentral.
CCUACGGGCGGCAGCAGUGGGGAAUAUUGGGCAAUGGGCGCAAGCCUGACCCAGCAACGCCGCGUGAGGGAAGAAGGCUUUCGGGUUGUAAACUUCUUUUCUCAGGGACGAAGCAAGUGACGGUACCUGAGCAAUAAGCCACGGCUAACUACGUGCCAGCAGCCGCAGUAAUACGUGGGUGGCCAGCGAUAUCCGGAUUUACUGGGUGUAAAGGGCGGGUAGGCGGGACUGCAAGUCAGAUGUGAAAACCAUGGGCUCAACCUAUGGCCUGCAUUUGAAACUGUAGUUCUUGAGUACUGGAGAGGCAGACGGAAUGCGUGGUGUAGCGGUGAAAUGCGUAGAUAUUAGGAGGAACACCAGUGGCGAAGGCGGUCUGCUGGACAGCAACUGACGCUGAGGCGCGAAAGCGUGGGGAGCAAACAGGAUUAGAUACCCUUGUAGUC